GUAAGCUACUAAGAGCGAACGGUGGAUGCCUUGGCUAGUAGAGGCGAUGAAAGACGUGCCAGGCUGCGAUAAGUCUCGGGGAGCCGUCAAGGGGCUUUGAUCCGGGAAUUUCUGAAUGGGGCAACCCAAUACAUAGCGAUAUGUGUUACCAUUAAUGGAGCCAACGCGGGGAACUGAAACAUCUAAGUACCCGCAGGAAAAGAAAUCAAUAGAGAUUACGCUAGUAGCGGCGAGCGAACGCGUAAGAGGGCAAACCACUAGUUUACUAGUGGGGUUGUAGGACCGCAACAUAGACUAGGAUCUGAUAAUAGAACAAUCUGGAAAGGUUAGGCAUAGAGGGUGAUACUCCCGUAUAUGAAAUCACAUCCUUACUUAGCGGUAUCCUGAGUAGGACGGGACACGUGAAAUCCUGUCUGAAGCCGGGUCGACCACGAUCCAACCCUAAAUACUACUACUAGACCGAUAGCGUACAAGUACCGUGAGGGAAAGGUGAAAAGAACGGCGGUGAGCCGAGUGAAAUAGAACCUGAAACCGUUUGCUUACAAUCAUUCAGAGCACUAUGCUAUACUCUUUAAAAUUAAUCCAGCUUGGCUUUUUAGCCCUUUUUUAUGAAACUGCGACUGCGGCAGCCGAAUCUGGCUAGCCUUGCCUUGUUUCAUAAAAAAUCAUCUAAAAAUCCUGCGUAUUUGAAAUUCUAAAUUUUGAUCUGAUAAAAUUUAAUCAUAAAUGACACAAACAAAAUUUUAUGGUCUAAAUUUAGAGAUAAUGAUUAACGAUUAGUUUUAAUGAGUAUAGCAGUGUGAUGGACUGCCUUUUGCAUAAUGAGCCUGCGAGUUGUGGUGUCUGGCGAGGUUAAGGAAACCCGGAGCCGUAGCGAAAGCGAGUCUUAAUAGGGCAAUUAGUCAGAUGCUGCAGACCCGAAACGAUGUGAUCUAUCCAUGAGCAGGUUGAAGCCGGUGUAAGAGCCGGUGGAGGACCCAACCGACGGCCGUUGAAAAGGCUCCGGAUGACUUGUGGAUAGGGGUGAAAGGCCAAUCAAACAUCGUGAUAGCUGGUUCUCUCCGAAAUAUAUUGAGGUAUAGCGUCGUGUAGUAGUUAUAAGGGGUAGAGCACUGAAUGGGCUAGGGCAUACACCAAUGUACCAAACCCUAUCAAACUCCGAAUACUUAUAGCGUAACCACGGCAGUCAGGCGGCGAGUGAUAAAAUCCGUCGUCAAGAGGGAAACAACCCGGACUAACAGCUAAGGUCCCCAAAUCUCAUUUAAGUGGAAAACGAUGUGAAGUUACUGAAACAACCAGGAGGUUGGCUUAGAAGCAGCCAUCCUUUAAAGAUAGCGUAAUAGCUCACUGGUCUAGUGAUUUUGCGCGGAAAAUAUAACGGGGCUAAAAUGAGUACCGAAGCUUUAGACUUGCACUUAAUCAUUUAUACUAGCUCGUCUUUUGGCGAUAAAUUAAUGAGUUUGAUUUUUUCUCAAUCGAUGGGCUAAAAGCCUUAUCUCAAUCGAAAAAAUCUUCACAACAUUAAUUUCUCAUCCAAAAUACUUCGCUUUCUAUAUUCAAAUUUUAAAUAUUUCGAACUUUGUUAAUUUUAAAAUCCCAACUUAGAUAUUUAAAAUUUAAUAACCAAGAAGCGAAGAAAGACAAACAAAACUUUAAGAUAUCGGAUAAAUUCUUAAAUAUCUUAAGUUUUAAAUUUGAACAAAGCCGCAAGAAAAGUAUAAAUCAUUAAGUGCAAGUGGUAGGAGAGCGUUCCAAUCAGCGUUGAAGCCGUACCGGUAAGGAGCGGUGGAGCGGUUGGAAGUGAGCAUGCAGGCAUGAGUAGCGAUAAAAUACGUGAGAAUCGUAUUCGCCGUAAACCCAAGGUUUCCUACGCGAUGCUCGUCAUCGUAGGGUUAGUCGGGUCCUAAGCAAAGUCCGAAAGGGGUAUGCGAUGGAAAAUCGGUUAAUAUUCCGAUACCGAUAUCAGUGUGCGACGGAAGGACGCUUAAAGUUAGUGGAGCUAGCGGAUGGAAGUGCUAGUCUAAGGAAGUAGGUUGAGUUAUAGGCAAAUCCGUAACUCUUUAUCCGAGAUCUGAAAGGCUUCUGACGCUCUUCGGAGUAGAUGAAGAAUCCAUGAUACUAUCGAGCCGAGAAAAGUUUCUAAGUUUAGCUGAUAUCGCCCGUACCGUAAACCGACACAGGUGGGUGGGAUGAGUAUUCUAAGGCGCGUGGAAGAACUCUCUUUAAGGAACUCUGCAAAAUAGCACCGUAUCUUCGGUAUAAGGUGUGCCUAGCUUCGUUAAGAAUUUACUUCGUAAGCGAAGAAGGUUACAACAAAGAGUCCCUCCCGACUGUUUACCAUAAACACAGCACUCUGCUAACUCGUAAGAGGAUGUAUAGGGUGUGACGCCUGCCCGGUGCUCGAAGGUUAAUUGAUGAUGUUAGCUUAUGCAAAGCAUCUGAUCGAAGCCCGAGUAAACGGCGGCCGUAACUAUAACGGUCCUAAGGUAGCGAAAUUCCUUGUCGGUUAAAUACCGACCUGCAUGAAUGGCGUAACGAGAUGGGAGCUGUCUCAAAGAGGGAUCCAGUGAAAUUGUAGUGGAGGUGAAAAUUCCUCCUACCCGCGGCAAGACGGAAAGACCCCGUGGACCUUUACUAUAGCUUGACACUGCUACUUGGAUAAAGAUGCGCAGGAUAGGUGGGAGGCUUUGAGUCGUAGAUCUUGGUUUACGAUGAGCCAUUGUUGAGAUACCACUCUUCUUUAUUCGGGUAGCUAACUAGCCUAAGUUAUCCUUAGGUAGGACAAUGUCUGGUGGGUAGUUUGACUGGGGCGGUCGCCUCCCAAAAUGUAACGGAGGCUUACAAAGGUUGGCUCAAAGCGGUUGGAAAUCGCUUGUAGAGUAUAAAGGCAAAAGCCAGCUUAACUGCGAGACAUACACGUCGAGCAGAGACGAAAGUCGGUCUUAGUGAUCCGGUGGUUCUGUGUGGAAGGGCCAUCGCUCAAAGGAUAAAAGGUACCCCGGGGAUAACAGGCUGAUCUCCCCCAAGAGCUCACAUCGACGGGGAGGUUUGGCACCUCGAUGUCGGCUCAUCGCAUCCUGGGGCUGUAGUCGGUCCCAAGGGUUGGGCUGUUCGCCCAUUAAAGCGGUACGCGAGCUGGGUUCAGAACGUCGUGAGACAGUUCGGUCCCUAUCUGCCGUGGGCGUAAGAAGAUUGAGGAGAGUUGACCCUAGUACGAGAGGACCGGGUUGAACCGACCACUGGUGUACCGGUUGUUCUGCCAAGAGCACCGCCGGGUAGCUAAGUCGGGAUGCGAUAAGAGCUGAAAGCAUCUAAGCUCGAAGCCGACUCCAAGAUGAAUCUUCUUUUAAGAGCUCUAGUAGACUACUAGUUUGAUAGGCCGGAUGUGUAAUGGAUGAAAGUCCUUUAGCUGACCGGUACUAAUAGCUCGUUUGCUUAUCUUU
RNAcentral lists this ribosomal RNA (3443 nucleotides) under human oral metagenome. Its description in RNAcentral is "bacterial LSU rRNA". It matches the Rfam family "Bacterial large subunit ribosomal RNA". The record is from RNAcentral.